This 243-nucleotide ribosomal RNA is filed under the name uncultured bacterium. RNAcentral's name for it is "partial 16S ribosomal RNA". It matches the Rfam family "Bacterial small subunit ribosomal RNA", at positions 104 to 334 of the family's 1533-position model. The record is from RNAcentral.
CGGCGGGACGGGGUGGAGGUAACGCGUGGGUAACCGUGCCUCAUACAGGGGGAUAACAGUUGGAAACGGCUGCUAAUACCGCAUAAGCGCACAGUACCGCAUGGUACGGUGUGAAAAACUCCGGUGGUAUGAGAUGGACCCGCGUCUGAUUAGGUAGUUGGUGGGGUAACGGCCUACCAAGCCGACGAUCAGUAGCCGACCUGAGAGGGUGACCGGCCACAUUGGGACUGAGACACGGCCCAA